CACGUAGGGUGCGAGCGUUGUCCGGAUUUAUUGGGCGUAAAGAGCGUGUAGGCGGCCAGGUAGGUCAGCUGUGAAAACUCGAGGCUCAACCUCGAGACGCCGGUUGAAACCAUCUGGCUAGAGUCCGGAAGAGGAGAGUGGAAUUCCUGGUGUAGCGGUGAAAUGCGCAGAUAUCAGGAAGAACACCCGUGGCUAAGGCGGCUCUCUAGUACGGUACUGACGCUGAGACGCGAAAGCGUGGGGAGCGAACAGG
Molecule: ribosomal RNA, 253 nt
Filed under: uncultured bacterium
Lineage: Bacteria
Description: partial 16S ribosomal RNA
Rfam family: Bacterial small subunit ribosomal RNA
Source: RNAcentral